RNAcentral lists this long non-coding RNA (326 nucleotides) under Cicer arietinum (chickpea). Its description in RNAcentral is "long non-coding RNA (CARI_LNC000567)". The record is from RNAcentral. Lineage: Eukaryota; Viridiplantae; Streptophyta; Magnoliopsida; Fabales; Fabaceae.
UUUUAUUUGACAACAUAUGUCUUUGAUUCAUUUCCAUUUUUAAAAGGAGAAUGAAUAUCUCUAUUUCUACAAGUACUCCAAUAUAUUAAGGAUUGUGGUUUUAUGGAUACUCCUCAAGUCUAUUGUUUACAAAUUUUGAGUCUUUUUUUUCAAUACCCUUUUUUUUGAAAAAAAAAACACUAAAAUAUUUUCAUUUGAAAAAAAUAUAUCAAAAUGUCAUCUUUUUUUAAAAAUCAAGUGGAAAGUUGUCAUUUGGAACUCGGGCUUCCUUAAGGAAGUCCCAUUUCAAAUAGAAGAAAAAAAAUGAAACAUUUUGGUAUAUUUUU